Molecule: ribosomal RNA, 468 nt
Filed under: uncultured bacterium
Lineage: Bacteria
Description: partial 16S ribosomal RNA
Rfam family: Bacterial small subunit ribosomal RNA
Source: RNAcentral
GACGAACGCUGGCGGCGUGCUUAACACAUGCAAGUCGAACGGAAAGGCCCUGCUUUUGUGGGGUGCUCGAGUGGCGAACGGGUGAGUAACCCGUGAGUAACCUGCCCUUGACUUUGGGAUAACUUCAGGAAACUGGGGCUAAUACCGGCUAGGAGCUCCUGCUGCAUGGUGGGGGUUGGAAAGUUUCGGCGGUUGGGGAUGGACUCGCGGCUUAUCAGCUUGUUGGUGGGGUAGUGGCUUACCAAGGCUUUGACGGGUAGCCGGCCUGAGAGGGUGACCGGCCACAUUGGGACUGAGAUACGGCCCAGACGCCUACGGGAGGCAGCAGUGGGGAAUAUUGCACAAUGGGCGGAAGCCUGAUGCAGCAACGCCGCGUGCGGGAUGACGGCCUUCGGGUUGUAAACCGCUUUCGCCUGUGACGAAGCGUGAGUGACGGUAAUGGGUAAAGAAGCACCGGCUAACUACGUG